RNAcentral lists this ribosomal RNA (253 nucleotides) under uncultured bacterium. RNAcentral's name for it is "partial 16S ribosomal RNA". It matches the Rfam family "Bacterial small subunit ribosomal RNA", at positions 524 to 776 of the family's 1533-position model. The record is from RNAcentral.
UACGUAUGGUGCAAGCGUUAUCCGGAUUUACUGGGUGUAAAGGGAGCGCAGGCGGCACGGCAAGCCUGAUGUGAAAGCCCGCGGCCCAACCGCGGGACUGCAUUGGGAACUACCGGGCUGGAGUGCCGGAGAGGCAGGCGGAAUUCCUAGUGUAGCGGUGAAAUGCGUAGAUAUUAGGAGGAACACCAGUGGCGAAGGCGGCCUACUGGACGGUGACUGACGCUGAGGCUCGAAAGCGUGGGUAGCAAACAGG